RNAcentral lists this microRNA precursor (204 nucleotides) under Oryza nivara. RNAcentral's name for it is "MIR812 microRNA precursor family". It matches the Rfam family "MIR812 microRNA precursor family". Lineage: Eukaryota; Viridiplantae; Streptophyta; Magnoliopsida; Poales; Poaceae. The record is from Rfam by way of RNAcentral.
AAUAGAUGAUACCGUUGAUUUUUUCUCACGUGUUUGACCAUUCGUCUUAUUUAAAAAAUUUACGUAAUUAUAAUUUAUUUUAUUAUGAGUUGUUUUAUCACUCAUAGUACUUUAAGUGUGAUUUAUAUCUUAUACAUUUGCAUAGAAUUUUUGAAUAAGACGAAUGGUCAAACACGUGAGAAAAAAUCAACGGCGUCAUCUAUU